This 28-nucleotide non-coding RNA is filed under the name Mus musculus (house mouse). The record is from RNAcentral. Lineage: Eukaryota; Metazoa; Chordata; Mammalia; Rodentia; Muridae.
UGCAAUGGACUUAACAGGCACUACCUGA